GCAAGUCGAACGAGAACGAGGUUGCUUGCAACCUUUAGUAGAGUGGCGCACGGGUGAGUAACACGUAGAUAAUCUGCCUUCAAGCCUCGGAAUAACUAUUCGAAAGGAUAGCUAAUACCGGAUGAAGUAGCCUGGCACAAGUUGGGCUAUGAAAGAUUGCCUCUUCUUGAAAGCAAUUGUUUGGAGAUGAGUCUGCGGACCAUUAGUUUGUUGGUGGGGUAAAGGCCUACCAAGACUGCGAUGGUUAGCUGGUCUGAGAGGAUGAUC
Molecule: ribosomal RNA, 267 nt
Filed under: uncultured bacterium
Lineage: Bacteria
Description: partial 16S ribosomal RNA
Rfam family: Bacterial small subunit ribosomal RNA
Source: RNAcentral